CCUACGGGGGACAGCAGUGGGGAAUAUUGGGCAAUGGGCGCAAGCCUGACCCAGCAAUGCCGCGUGAAGGUAGAAGCCCCUUGGGUUGUAAACUUCUUUUAUCAGGGACGAAGGAUGUGAAGGUACCUGAUGACUAAGAUCCGGCUAACUACGUGCAGGCCGCCGCGGUAAUACGUAGGGAGCAAGCGUUAUCCGGAUUUACUGGUUGUAAGGGGCGUUUAGGUGGGAGGGCAAGUCAGCUGUGAAAUCAAGAGGCUCAACCCCUGAACUGCAUUUGAAACUGUCGUUCUUGAGUACUGGAGAGGUUGACGGAAUUCCUAGUGUAGCGGUGAAAUGCGUAGAUAUUAGGCGGAACACCAGUUGCGAAGGCGGUCAACGGGACAGCAACUGACGCUGAGGCGCGAAAGCGUGGGGAGCAAACAGGAUUAGAUACCCCUGUAGUC
RNAcentral lists this ribosomal RNA (443 nucleotides) under uncultured bacterium. Its description in RNAcentral is "partial 16S ribosomal RNA". It matches the Rfam family "Bacterial small subunit ribosomal RNA", at positions 338 to 795 of the family's 1533-position model. The record is from RNAcentral.